This 253-nucleotide ribosomal RNA is filed under the name uncultured bacterium. RNAcentral's name for it is "partial 16S ribosomal RNA". It matches the Rfam family "Bacterial small subunit ribosomal RNA", at positions 524 to 776 of the family's 1533-position model. The record is from RNAcentral.
UACGGAGGGUGCAAGCGUUGCUCGGAAUUAUUGGGCGUAAAGGGUAGGUAGGUGGUCUCAUUUGUCUGGGGUGAAAGCCUUGAGCUUAACUCAAGAAGUGCCCCAGAAACGGUGAGACUAGAGUCUUGGAGAGGGUCGUGGAAUUCCCGGUGUAGCGGUGAAAUGCGUAGAUAUCUGGAGGAACACCGGUGGCGAAGGCGGCAUCCUGGACCGACACUGACGCUGAGGAGCGAAAGCCAGGGGAGCAAACGGG